RNAcentral lists this ribosomal RNA (333 nucleotides) under uncultured eukaryote. RNAcentral's name for it is "partial 18S ribosomal RNA". It matches the Rfam family "Eukaryotic small subunit ribosomal RNA", at positions 1470 to 1796 of the family's 1831-position model. The record is from RNAcentral.
CCCUUAGAUGUUCGGGGCCGCACGCGCGCUACACUGAAGGAAUCAACGUGUGUCUCUCCUGUCUCGAGAGGGACGGGCAACCAGUUGAACCUCCUUCGUGCUAGGGAUUGGGGCUUGUAAUUCUUCCCCAUGAACGAGGAAUUCCCAGUAAGCGCGAGUCAUCAGCUCGCGUUGAUUACGUCCCUGCCCUUUGUACACACCGCCCGUCGCUACUACCGAUCGGAUUGUCCUGUGAAUUUCUAGGAGAGUUGAGGUCCUGGCGCUUCGGUGUCGGCGACCUCAUGCUUGAAUUGAAUUGAACUGGACUCUCUAGAGGAAGUAAAAGUCGUAACA